CCUACGGGAGACAGCAGUGAGGAAUAUUGGUCAAUGGACGAGAGUCUGAACCAGCCAAGUAGCGUGAAGGAUGACUGCCCUAUGGGUUGUAAACUUCUUUUAUAUGGGAAUAAAAUGUUCCACGUGUGGGAUUUUGUAUGUACCAUAUGAAUAAGGAUCGGCUAACUCCGUGCCAGCAGCCGCGGUAAUACGGAGGAUCCAAGCGUUAUCCGGAUUUAUUGGGUUUAAAGGGAGCGUAGGUGGAUUGUUAAGUCAGUUGUGAAAGUUUGCGGCUCAACCGUAAAAUUGCAGUUGAAACUGGCAGUCUUGAGUACAGUAGAGGUGGGCGGAAUUCGUGGUGUAGCGGUGAAAUGCUUAGAUAUCACGAAGAACUCCGAUUGCGAAGGCAGUUCACUGGACUGCAACUGACACUGAGGCUCGAAAGUGUGGGUAUCAAACAGGAUUAGAUACCCGUGUAGUC
RNAcentral lists this ribosomal RNA (460 nucleotides) under uncultured bacterium. RNAcentral's name for it is "partial 16S ribosomal RNA". It matches the Rfam family "Bacterial small subunit ribosomal RNA", at positions 338 to 795 of the family's 1533-position model. The record is from RNAcentral.